RNAcentral lists this transfer RNA (55 nucleotides) under Heterocephalus glaber (naked mole-rat). It matches the Rfam family "tRNA", at positions 9 to 63 of the family's 71-position model. Rfam says of the family: Transfer RNA (tRNA) molecules are approximately 80 nucleotides in length. Lineage: Eukaryota; Metazoa; Chordata; Mammalia; Rodentia; Bathyergidae. The record is from Rfam by way of RNAcentral.
AGCUCAGUGGUAGAGCACGUACUUGGCAUGUGUGAGGCCCUGGGUUCAAGCCCAG